AGUGAACGCUGGCGGUAGGCCUAACACAUGCAAGUCGAACGGCAGCACAGUAAGAGCUUGCUCUUACGGGUGGCGAGUGGCGGACGGGCGCGGAAUACAUCGGAAUCUACUUUUUCGUGGGGGAUAACGUAGGGAAACUUACGCUAAUACCGCAUACGACCUAUGGGUGAAAGCAGGGGUUGUUCGGACCUUGCGCGAUUGAAUGAGCCGAUGUCGGAUUAGUUAGUUGGCGGGGUAAAGGGCCACCAAGGCGGCGAUGCGUAGCUGGUCUGAGAGGAUGAUCAGCCACAUUGGAACUGAGACACAGCCGAGACUCCGACAGGGAGCAGCAGUGGGGAAUAUUGGACAAUGGGCGCAAGCCUGAUCCAGCCAUACCGCGUGGGUGAAGAAGGCCUUCGGGUGGGAAAGCCCUUUUGUUGGGAAAGAAAUACAGCAGGUUUAUACCCCGCUGUUCUGACGGUACCCAAAGAAUAAGCUCCGGCUAACUUCGUG
This 492-nucleotide ribosomal RNA is filed under the name uncultured bacterium. Its description in RNAcentral is "partial 16S ribosomal RNA". It matches the Rfam family "Bacterial small subunit ribosomal RNA", at positions 29 to 507 of the family's 1533-position model. The record is from RNAcentral.